UGGACGAGAGUCUGAACCAGCCAAGUAGCGUGAAGGAUGACUGCCUAUGGGUUGUAAACUUCUUUUAUACGGGAAUAAGUGAGGCACGUGUGCCUUUUUGUAUGUACCGUAUGAAUAAGGAUCGGCUAACUCCGUGCCAGCAGCCGCGGUAAUACGGAGGAUCCGAGCGUUAUCCGGAUUUAUUGGGUUUAAAGGGAGCGUAGGCGGACGCUUAAGUCAGUUGUGAAAGUUUGCGGCUCAACCGUAAAAUUGCAGUUGAUACUGGGUGUCUUGAGUACAGUAGAGGCAGGCGGAAUUCGUGGUGUAGCGGUGAAAUGCUUAGAUAUCACGAAGAACUCCGAUUGCGAAGGCAGCUUGCUGGACUGUAGCUGACGCUGAUGCUCGGAAGUGUGGGUAUCAAACAGGAUUAGAUACCCUGGUAGUCCACACCGUAAACGAUGAAUACUCGCUGUUUGCGAUAUA
This 462-nucleotide ribosomal RNA is filed under the name uncultured bacterium. RNAcentral's name for it is "bacterial SSU rRNA". It matches the Rfam family "Bacterial small subunit ribosomal RNA", at positions 372 to 833 of the family's 1533-position model. The record is from RNAcentral.